RNAcentral lists this ribosomal RNA (468 nucleotides) under uncultured bacterium. RNAcentral's name for it is "partial 16S ribosomal RNA". It matches the Rfam family "Bacterial small subunit ribosomal RNA", at positions 28 to 507 of the family's 1533-position model. The record is from RNAcentral.
GACGAACGCUGGCGGCGUGCUUAACACAUGCAAGUCGAACGGAAAGGCCCUGCUUUUGUGGGGUGCUCGAGUGGCGAACGGGUGAGUAACACGUGAGUAACCUGCCCUUGACUUUGGGAUAACUUCAGGAAACUGGGGCUAAUACCGGAUAGGAGCUCCUGCUGCAUGGUGGGGGUUGGAAAGUUUCGGCGGUUGGGGAUGGACUCACGGCUUAUCAGCUUGUUGGUGGGGUAGUGGCUUACCAAGGCUUUGACGGGUAGCCGGCCUGAGAGGGUGACCGGCGAGAGUGGGAUUGAGAUAAGACACAGACGAAUAUGGGAGGAACGAGGGGGGAGGAGGGUACAAGGGGAGGAGGGAGGAACUCGCAACGCCGAGUGGGGGAUGAGGGGAUGGGGGUGGGAAAGAAAAGCCGCGUGCGAAGAAGAGAGAAUGACGGUAAUUGAUAAAGAAGCAACGGCUAACUACGUG